RNAcentral lists this non-coding RNA (89 nucleotides) under Pseudomonas tolaasii NCPPB 2192. Lineage: Bacteria; Pseudomonadati; Pseudomonadota; Gammaproteobacteria; Pseudomonadales; Pseudomonadaceae. The record is from RNAcentral.
GGAGGGAGCUGGCUUGCCUGCGAUAGCGGUGGUUCAGCUGUGCAUAUAUCAACUGACAGGCCGCUAUCUCAGGCAAGCCAGCUCCCACA